This 558-nucleotide ribosomal RNA is filed under the name Triticum aestivum (bread wheat). RNAcentral's name for it is "partial small subunit ribosomal RNA". The record is from RNAcentral. Lineage: Eukaryota; Viridiplantae; Streptophyta; Magnoliopsida; Poales; Poaceae.
GUCAAGGGGGAGGUUUCUGCCUCUGAUAUGCUAACACAAAAUGGAAUCUUUUGUAAGAACAAGGAGUGGCCAUGGCAAAUCAGAGAGCUAGAAAACAAGAAAUUCCUAUUGAGAUUUCCACCUUGGAAGAAUGUGGAUGACCUAAUUGAAUUCCCUUUUGAGCUGCCUAUUGCUGGAGUAUCUGUCAAGAUUUGUGAAUGGGAAGGUAUGCUGGAUGAGUUUGGAGCACUUACUGAAGCCUGGGUGCAGAUUGAAGGAAUCCCACCUAAGUGGUGUACCUGGAAAUUUUUUGCCCAGAUUACUGCAUGUUUUGGUAUCCUUGUGGAUGUGGACUGGAAUGGUAUUUUCAAAAGCUUUUAUGAAACUAUUCGAGUUAAAGUUGCCCGUAGAUACCCAAGGAAGAUUCCUUUUGAGAGAUUGGUGGAGAUGAAAAAGAAACUUUACCUACUGUUUUUUACAGUAGAAGGUUUUGAGAAGAAUGGUGAGGACUCUGAUGGAGGUGAUAAUGAUCUAGGUCUGGACAAUCUUGAAGGAAAUGAUGGAAAUAACAGUAAAUAG